AUUGAACGCUGGCGGCAUGCCUAACACAUGCAAGUCGAACGGCAGCACAGUAUGUAGCAAUACAUAUGGGUGGCGAGUGGCGGACGGGUGAGUAACGCGUGGGAAUCUGCCCUAUAGUGGGGGACAACCCGACGAAAGUCGGGCUAAUACCGCAUACGCCCUACGGGGGAAAGGCUUCGGCCGCUAUUGGAUGAGCCCGCGUCGGAUUAGCUAGUUGGUGAGGUAAUGGCUCACCAAGGCGACGAUCCGUAGCUGGUCUGAGAGGACGAUCAGCCACACUGGGACUGAGACACGGCCCAGACUCCUACGGGAGGCAGCAGCGGGGGAUAUUGCACAAUGGGCGAAAGCCUGAUGCAGCAAUGCCGCGUGUGUGAAGAAGGCCUGCGGGUUGUAAAGCACUUUCGGUAGGGAAGAUAAUGACGGUACCUACAGAAGAAGCACCGGCUAACUCCGUGCCAGCAGCCGCGGUAAU
RNAcentral lists this ribosomal RNA (472 nucleotides) under uncultured bacterium. Its description in RNAcentral is "bacterial SSU rRNA". It matches the Rfam family "Bacterial small subunit ribosomal RNA", at positions 29 to 524 of the family's 1533-position model. The record is from RNAcentral.